CCAGACUCCUACGGGAGGCAGCAGUGGGGAAUAUUGCACAAUGGGGGAAACCCUGAUGCAGCGACGCCGCGUGAGUGAAGAAGUAUUUCGGUAUGUAAAGCUCUAUCAGCAGGGAAGAAAAUGACGGUACCUGACUAAGAAGCCCCGGCUAACUACGUGCCAGCAGCCGCGGUAAUACGUAGGGGGCAAGCGUUAUCCGGAUUUACUGGGUGUAAAGGGAGCGCAGGCGGCACGGCAAGUCCGGUGUGAAAGCCCGGGGCCCAACCCCGGGACUGCACUGGAAACUGCCGGGCUGGAGUGUCGGAGGGGCAGGCGGAAUUCCUAGUGUAGCGGUGAAAUGCGUAGAUAUUAGGAGGAACACCGGUGGCGAAGGCGGCCUGCUGGACAACGACUGACGCUGAGGCUCGAAAGCGUGAGGAGCAAACAGGAUUAGAUACCCCCGUAU
RNAcentral lists this ribosomal RNA (445 nucleotides) under uncultured bacterium. Its description in RNAcentral is "partial 16S ribosomal RNA". It matches the Rfam family "Bacterial small subunit ribosomal RNA", at positions 331 to 793 of the family's 1533-position model. The record is from RNAcentral.